GUCUACGCUGGGAUUAGCUCAGUUGGUAGAGCAUGAGACUGUUGAUCUCAGGGUUGUGGGUUCAAGCCCCACAUUAGGCA
This is a non-coding RNA of Podarcis raffonei (Aeolian wall lizard), 80 nucleotides long. The record is from the annotation of a RefSeq genome assembly. NCBI's taxonomy places the organism in Eukaryota, Metazoa, Chordata, Lepidosauria, Squamata, Lacertidae.